UGGGGCGUCGCCAAGCGGUAAGGCAGCGGAUUUUGAUUCCGCCACGCGGAGGUUCGAAUCCUCCCGCCCCAGCCA
This 75-nucleotide transfer RNA is filed under the name Methylocella tundrae. Its description in RNAcentral is "tRNA-Gln". It matches the Rfam family "tRNA". Rfam says of the family: Transfer RNA (tRNA) molecules are approximately 80 nucleotides in length. The record is from RNAcentral. Lineage: Bacteria; Pseudomonadati; Pseudomonadota; Alphaproteobacteria; Hyphomicrobiales; Beijerinckiaceae.